GCCGGGCGCGGUGGCGCGUGUCUGUAGUCCCAGCUACUCGGGAGGCUGAGGCUGGAGGAUCGCUUGAGUCCAGGAGUUCUGGGCUGUACUGUGCUAUGCCGAUCAGGUGUUCGCACUAAGUUUGGCAUCAAUAUGGUGACCUCCCGGGAGCGGGGGACCACCAGGUUGCCUAAGGAGGGGUGAACCGGCCCAGGUCAGAAAUGGAGCAGGUCAGAACUCCCAUGCUGAUCAGUAGUGGGAUGGCGCCUGUGAAUAGCCACUGCACUCCAGCCUGGGCAACAUAGCGAGACCUUGUCUCU
This 299-nucleotide signal recognition particle RNA is filed under the name Cebus imitator (Panamanian white-faced capuchin). Its description in RNAcentral is "Metazoan signal recognition particle RNA (ENSCCAG00000010352.1)". It matches the Rfam family "Metazoan signal recognition particle RNA". Rfam says of the family: The signal recognition particle (SRP) is a universally conserved ribonucleoprotein. It is involved in the co-translational targeting of proteins to membranes. Lineage: Eukaryota; Metazoa; Chordata; Mammalia; Primates; Cebidae. The record is from RNAcentral.